AAGUCGUAACAAGGUUUCCGUAGGUGAACCUGCGGAAGGAUCAUUACCUUUCAUUGCAGCAGAAUUGGGAUGGUUGAGUAUCUCGCCUCUCCGUUCUGCCUGUAUUCUACCCUUGUUUGUCAUAUACUAUUAUUUCCUCGGCAGGCUUGCCUGCCGAGUGAAACCAUUUAUAACCUUUUUAAUUUUCAAUCAGCGUCUGAAAAAAACUAAUAAUUACAACUUUCAACAACGGAUCUCUUGGUUCUG
Molecule: unclassified non-coding RNA, 246 nt
Filed under: Paraphoma chrysanthemicola
Lineage: Eukaryota; Fungi; Ascomycota; Dothideomycetes; Pleosporales; Phaeosphaeriaceae
Description: partial internal transcribed spacer region
Rfam family: Eukaryotic small subunit ribosomal RNA (bases 1-46)
Source: RNAcentral